Molecule: small nuclear RNA, 108 nt
Organism: Microtus ochrogaster (prairie vole)
Lineage: Eukaryota; Metazoa; Chordata; Mammalia; Rodentia; Cricetidae
Source: Ensembl
GUGUUCACUUCAGCAGCACGUAGACGAAAAUUAGAAUGAAACACUGAAGAUUAGCAUGGUCCCUGCAUGAAGAUAACACACAUAUCUCAUAAAGAACUCAUUGUGUGU